GCUACGUUUGGAAGGGAUAACCGCUGAAAGCAUCUAAGCGGGAAGCCUGCUCCAAGAUUAGCAUUCCUUGCACUUUGUGUGUGAGCCCCCAUGUAGAACACGUGGUUGAUAGGCUGGAUGUGGAAGCCCUGUAAGGGGUGGAGCUGACCAGUACUAAUGGGCGAUUGUGA
This 170-nucleotide ribosomal RNA is filed under the name Gardnerella vaginalis. RNAcentral describes it as "partial 23S ribosomal RNA". It matches the Rfam family "Bacterial large subunit ribosomal RNA", at positions 2748 to 2925 of the family's 2925-position model. Lineage: Bacteria; Bacillati; Actinomycetota; Actinomycetes; Bifidobacteriales; Bifidobacteriaceae. The record is from RNAcentral.